Molecule: ribosomal RNA, 476 nt
Filed under: uncultured bacterium
Lineage: Bacteria
Description: partial 16S ribosomal RNA
Rfam family: Bacterial small subunit ribosomal RNA
Source: RNAcentral
GACGAACGCUGGCGGCGCGCCUAAUACAUGCAAGUCGAGCGAGAACCAGGGCUUGCCCUGGGGAGAGCGGCGAACGGGUGCGUAUCACGUGAGCAACCUGCCUCAGAGACCGGGAUAACUCGAGGAAACUCGGGCUAAUACCGGAUGCCCUCGGUGGACCGCAUGGUCCGGCGAGGAAAUGGAUUCCGCUCUGAGAUGGGCUCGCGGCCUAUCAGCUUGUUGGUGGGGUAACGGCCUACCAAGGCGACGACGGGGAGCGGGUCUGAGAGGACGAUCAGCCACACUGGGACUGAGACACGGCCCAGACUCCUACGGGAGGCAGCAGUAGGGAAUCUUGCGCAAUGGGGGAACCCCUGACGCAGCGACGCCGCGUGCGGGAUGAAGGCCUUCGGGUCGUAAACCGCUUUCAGCAGGGACGAAAUUGACGGUACCUGCAGAAGAAGGCCCGGCCAACUACGUGCCAGCCGCCGCGGUAA